UACAGAGACUGCAAGCGUUAUUCGGAUUCACUGGGCGUAAAGGGUGCGCAGGCGGCCAAGUGUGUGAGGCGUGAAAGCCCGGGGCUUAACCCCGGAAUUGCACCUCAAACUACUUGGCUAGAGCAUUGGAGAGGGUAGCAGAGUUCAUGGUGUAGCAGUGAAAUGCGUAGAUAUCAUGAGGAAUACCAGAGGCGAAGGCGGCUACCUGGACAAUUGCUGACGCUCAGGCACGAAAGCGUGGGGAGCAAAAGGG
This 253-nucleotide ribosomal RNA is filed under the name uncultured bacterium. RNAcentral describes it as "partial 16S ribosomal RNA". It matches the Rfam family "Bacterial small subunit ribosomal RNA", at positions 524 to 776 of the family's 1533-position model. The record is from RNAcentral.